UGGGGAAUUGUUCGCAAUGGGCGCAAGCCUGACGACGCAACGCCGCGUGGAGGAUGAAGAUUUUCGGAUCGUAAACUCCUGUCGAAUGGGACGAACAGAUCGCGGGUUAACAGCCCGCAAUCCUGACGGUACCGUUAAAGGAAACCCCGGCUAACUUCGUGCCAGCAGCCGCGGUAAUACGAAGGGGGCUAGCGUUGUUCGGAAUUACUGGGCGUAAAGGGCGCGUAGGCGGCCGUUUAAGUUAGGUGUGAAAGUCCUGGGCUCAACCUGGGGACUGCACUUAAUACUGGAUGGCUUGAAUUCGGGAGAGGAUAGCGGAAUUCCCAGUGUAGAGGUGAAAUUCGUAGAUAUUGGGAAGAACACCGGUGGCGAAGGCGGCUAUCUGGACCGACAUUGACGCUGAGGCGCGAAAGCGUGGGGAGCAAA
This 426-nucleotide ribosomal RNA is filed under the name uncultured bacterium. Its description in RNAcentral is "bacterial SSU rRNA". It matches the Rfam family "Bacterial small subunit ribosomal RNA", at positions 355 to 772 of the family's 1533-position model. The record is from RNAcentral.